Molecule: non-coding RNA, 115 nt
Organism: Sphaerobolus stellatus SS14
Lineage: Eukaryota; Fungi; Basidiomycota; Agaricomycetes; Geastrales; Sphaerobolaceae
Source: Rfam
GGCACUGUGUCCGAGUGAUCCAAGGAGUGUGGCUCAAGCGAAAAGCUUGCCCCGUUAUCUAGUAGGGGCUUCUCAUCUGUGUAUGCAGGCAGGGGUUCGAAUCCCUUCGGUGUCA